CCUACGGGGGGCAGCAGUGAGGAAUAUUGGGCAAUGGACGAAAGUCUGACCCAGCCAUGCCGCGUGCAGGACGAAGGCCCUACGGGUUGUAAACUGCUUUUAUAUGGGAAUAAACCCCUCUACGUGUAGAGGGCUGAAGGUACCAUAUGAAUAAGCACCGGCUAACUCCGUGCCAGCAGCCGCGGUAAUACGGAGGGUGCAAGCGUUAUCCGGAUUCAUUGGGUUUAAAGGGUGCGCAGGCGGGAUAUUAAGUCAGUGGUGAAAUCCUACAGCUUAACUGUAGAACUGCCAUUGAUACUGAUGUCCUUGAGUCUGGUUGAAGUUGGCGGAACGUGACAUGUAGCGGUGAAAUGCAUAGAUAUGUCACAGAACACCGAUCGCGAAGGCAGCUAACUAAACCAGUACUGACGCUCAGGCACGAAAGCGUGGGGAGCAAACAG
RNAcentral lists this ribosomal RNA (440 nucleotides) under uncultured bacterium. RNAcentral's name for it is "bacterial SSU rRNA". It matches the Rfam family "Bacterial small subunit ribosomal RNA", at positions 338 to 775 of the family's 1533-position model. The record is from RNAcentral.